Molecule: long non-coding RNA, 2636 nt
Filed under: Gossypium barbadense (sea-island cotton)
Lineage: Eukaryota; Viridiplantae; Streptophyta; Magnoliopsida; Malvales; Malvaceae
Description: long non-coding RNA (GBAR_LNC006941)
Source: RNAcentral
UUAAGACAUUUAUUUAUAGAUUAUAUAUGUUAUAUUAUAUAAAGUAAAUAAAAUAAGUAAAGUUAAAAAUAAGAAAACUUAAAGAAUUAGUGUCAUCUUCUUCUUCUUUUAAUUUUAACAUUGAACCAUCAUGGGAGAAAUUGGGAAGCUUCAGCUUUGAUAUUUCCAUUGCAUGUAAGUGAGUUUUUCACUCAUUUUUUUGUAGAUUUUAUAUUUUUGAGACCGUUACAAGUAAGUACAGCUAACAUGUAUCUCCGUUUUUAAAACUGUUAAAGAUUUUGGAUUUUUCCAUUAAUGAAUUUUAGUUGUGUUGAGAAUUUAAUUGAUGGAUUCUUGAGUUUUAUAGCUAGAUAUAAGUAUUUUGUUAAGUGAUUUUUAGUAAUUUCAAUGUUUAGGGAUUAAAUUGUUUAAAUAGUAAAAUUCAAUGAAAAUAGUGUGAAAUGAUAAGAAAUAGGGGCUGUAAUGGACCCUUAGGAAAAUUGGCUAGCAUAGUUUUUCAUUAAAUGUGAUUAAUUUGUGUGUUUCGGAUUUAGGGACUAAAUUGCAUAAAAGGUAAAAGUUUUGGGUAAAAGUUUAAAAUGAUGAUUAAAGGUCAAAUAUAUGAAUUUUAAUAUUUUAUAAUAUUUUAAUUGGUUAAUUGAAUAAAUUUAUUAUAUUUAAAUCAAGAAACGAGCUAACCUGACAUUAAUUGUGGGAAAGUUAAGUUAAAGGAGAAAUUGUCGGUGUUGUGUUUGUAACUAUUUUUAAUUAGGUAAGUUUGUAAAUUGAUUAAAUUAAUUAUUUGUUAUUUUUGUGACUUAAUAUAUAUAUUUAUGUUUUUAUUCAAUUUAACUACUUGAGAUUGAUAUGUGAUGAGUUGGACUAAGUUAUGAUGAUAUUUAAGUUGAGUAUUGUGUUUGGAAAAUGUGAAAUACAUGGAUGUGAGUUUGAAAUGGUAUAAUGGAAAUGAAGUUAAAUGAUUAGGAUAUGAAAUGUGUCACAUUUGAACCAUGUGAGUACUUAGGAUACAAAUGACAUGUCAUUAGGAGGUUAUUUACAGUUUCGGGUGCUGGUCUUGGAUGUCCUACUGAUGGUUGAGGUCCUGUAUUUGUUGUGGAUUCUCAGCAGCAUCGUGUAGCUUAAUAUCUCGGCCUAUAGCUUGUGUGAGCAGGCCCAUUUCACAGCUCAUGUGAGCAUAUACUAUUACAUGUUACAGUCACAAAUUGUGUGAGCAGUUCCCGAGUAUCCGAUGUUAUUUCAUUUGGUUCAACAGGUAGUAAAAGUUUAAACGAAUAUGCACAUAUAUAAAAUGUUAUAUGGUCAAGACCUGUGAAUUGGAAAAUGUUGAUAUAAAUACUUGGAAUGGGAAGCUAUGUUUAUCAAACACAUGAUGAUAUAAUAUGUACUUGUUAUGUUAUUAUUACAUGUUCCAUUAUUGUUGGAAUUAUAUGUUUCUUUGCAAUACCUAUUAACCUUGUAAGGUUGUGUUGUAUAGAAAAGAAAUGUAAGUAUAAGAUUUAAUGAAUGAAUGUGUUAAAUUUUAAAUAAAUAUGUGAUGGUUGAUUAUGCACCAAAUGAGUUUUUAGGUAUAUGUUUGAUGGCAUGAUAAAGUUACAUGUUUUAUAUAUAAACUUACUAAUCUUGUGAGACUUGUGAUGUGUCUAGGAAAUUAACGAACUCAUGACCAGGGCAUAAAAUUAUCUUGUAAAAUGUUUUAUUACAUCGUUUUUGGUACGUCAAAGUUUAAGUUUAUCACAAACUUACUAAGCUUUAUGCAAACUUACCUCGUUUUGAUUUUUCUUCUUUGUAGAUUGUUGGAUUUGAGCUGUCAAUUAGAUUACUUUUGGAGAUCACACUAUUUGUUCAAUGAUUUGGUGUAAGAUGUGAUUAUUUUUUAUUUAGUUUAUAAGUGGCAUGUUCUAAGAGCAUAUAAGUUCUUUUGCUAUAAUGAUGUAACCUUAGUUUAAGCAUAUAUGUGUAUAGAUUUAGCUUGUAUAUGUCCAUAUAUGUAUGUCUUUAGUUGUUUGGUAUAUGCUUAUUGGAUGUGUCUGAAAUAUGGUAAGAUUGAAUGUGAAUGGAAUGGUUGAAUUGGUAAAAAUGUUUAGGUAAUUUGAUAAAUCUUGGUUGAUAAUUUUGGUCAUAGUAAAUGAGGUAAAUUUGAUAGUUGAAGAAGUAUGAAAUGCUAAGUAGUUGCACUUGAAUGGAUUAUGUUUCAAUGUUUGAAUUGUGGUGCCAAGUGAUGGCAUAUUGUUUAGGCAUAUAAGAUGAAUGAUUUUGGCAUGUUUUAGGUAUGUUUGAAUGUGUUUUAACCAAGUGAAAGUGAUUGGAAAAGGUUUGGUUUGGUGACCAAGAAAUGGAUAUUGAAUUGCUUGUAUUAGAGGUCAUUUUGGGUGCACGCGACCUGGGACACAGGCUGUCACACGGCUACGUGCCACACACGACCACCUCAUACGGCCAUGUGUCUUAUUAAUUUUAGGUGCAGGAUUUUUUAUAUGGUUACAUUCAGUUACACAAUCUGAGCACACAGGCGUGUGGAAUAGCCACACGGGCUGGCCUUUGUCACACAGCUGUGUGACCCCUGUUUUUAGUUUUUUUUUACAUUUUUCUAUUUUGUUCAAAUUAAUUCUUGUUUGUUUGCGAAUGUUUCUAAAAUCCCA